This 74-nucleotide transfer RNA is filed under the name Nocardia ignorata. RNAcentral's name for it is "tRNA-Trp". It matches the Rfam family "tRNA". Rfam says of the family: Transfer RNA (tRNA) molecules are approximately 80 nucleotides in length. The record is from RNAcentral. Lineage: Bacteria; Bacillati; Actinomycetota; Actinomycetes; Mycobacteriales; Nocardiaceae.
UGGGACGUGGGCUGUUGGUCGCCCAGGCGGUCUCCAAAACCGCUGUUUCGGGAGUUCGAUUCUCCCCGUCCUGG